GAGACUGGGAUUUAAGAUUGAGGCAGUAUGGUAAGUUAUUAUUAUUUGUUUUCGUCUUUUGUUUUAAUUUGUAUUUCUAAUUAAUAAUUUCUUAUUUGUGCAUUGUAUUAUUAAAAAGUAAUACAAUCUUUUUAAUAGCAUUCAUUUAUUCUGUUACUGUGUUGGCGAAUGGAAGGAAGAAACCUGAUGAAAAAAUAAUCAGAGAAACAAAUUCUUUCAUACCUUUCAUCAUUCACUCGCUCUAAUCUACGGUGAAUCUAACAGGAGUGACCAGACCCGUAUCACGGUAGGAACCAUAUAUUGUCUAUCAGAAAUACACGAGAGCAGCAUCCUAUGUUGGAAAGAUUAUUUUAUAUUAUAUAUUGUUAAAAUACUAUAGUUAUUAUUGUUCUAUGGUAUUAUAGGUAUGUGAGAAAGG
Centruroides sculpturatus (bark scorpion) is the source of this 418-nucleotide long non-coding RNA. RefSeq lists it as uncharacterized. The record is from RefSeq and is a predicted model, not a curated record. The transcript is spliced from 3 exons. NCBI's taxonomy places the organism in Eukaryota, Metazoa, Arthropoda, Arachnida, Scorpiones, Buthidae.